Molecule: long non-coding RNA, 640 nt
Organism: Panicum virgatum (switchgrass)
Lineage: Eukaryota; Viridiplantae; Streptophyta; Magnoliopsida; Poales; Poaceae
Exons: 3
Source: RefSeq, a predicted model, not a curated record
AUUGGGAUUCGGCCUCCAGAACCACCUGAGGGGGUCAAGGACAGGAAGACCUCAAGGGUUAGCUUGGCUUGGUUGAGGCAGAAUUUUAACCAUUGUCCUCAAGGAGCACCGCAGGGGGUUGUAGAGCGGUAUGCUCGCGUAUGGUUGUGGCACCUGUUUGGAGGUUUUCUGUUUCCUGAUGGUUCGGGAAACACGAUUUCAUGGAUGAUACUUCCAAUUGUGGGCCAGCAGUGGGAGAACAUUGCUCAGUAUAGUUGGGGGUCGGCAACUUUAGCUUGGAUGUACUGGCAGCUUUGUGACGCAUGUCGGCGGAUUGCUAAUGAUUCAAACCUAGGAGGUUGUGCAUACCUCCUGCAAAUCUGGAUUUGGGAGCGCUUUCCAGUAGGCCGGCCGUACCGAGGCGAACUAGAGCCGUGGCCACACCAUGAUGAGGACUUCAGGCCCACCGUUGCUUACUGUUGGAAGAACGUGGGAGCUGUAAGAGGGGAUCCUGCACGCCGCUACAUGCGUUACAUGGACGACCUAGACUGCCUCACUCAAAAUCAGAUCUUCUGGACACCGUACAGUAGGGCCGAGCUGGACGAGUUGGAACUGAGUGAUAUUUGCACACGCGAUGCCGAACUGUGGAGGACUUGCGUGC